AAAAACACAAGCAUCUAGAAAGUGAGGGGGUUAGGCUCAGAUCUGUGUAUGAUCGGGCGAAAACCCGACUCCGCCGCCGUGGCUGCAACAACAGGGUUGCAACGCCAGGAAACGGGUCAGAUUCUCCAGGCCCGAAAUCGUCACAGCCUACUUCGGCCCCCGUUGGUAAUGCUUAAAAGCACAAGCAUCUAGAGAAGAGAGAGGGGGGGGGGGGGGGGGGGGUAGGCUCAGAUAGGUGUAUGAUGGGCGACAACCAGACUCCGCCGCCAUGGCAUGCAACAACAGGGUUGCCCCCCCAGGAACGGGUGCGUCGGAUCCUCCAGGCCCGAACCAUCAGUGCUCAGAAAUCCAUCGUUCACAGCCUAUUUAGUACUGGGAAGGGUGAGUACGUACUGAAAA
This 399-nucleotide long non-coding RNA is filed under the name Actinidia chinensis (golden kiwifruit). Its description in RNAcentral is "long non-coding RNA (ACHI_LNC000267)". The record is from RNAcentral. Lineage: Eukaryota; Viridiplantae; Streptophyta; Magnoliopsida; Ericales; Actinidiaceae.